GCCUCCUGUUGGACGUGAGAUGUGUCCAAGCAUCAGCCCCUUUUGCUUAAGAAAAACUCUUUAACUUCCACGCAGCCGGCAGGCAAGCUUUUCUAAGAUCCUGUGGACCCAACGUUGUAUUGAUAGAGUUAUAUAUUUUUAUUUAUAUAUACAUACACACAUACACAGGUGUGCAUGUGUAUGUGUGUAAGUACGUAUGUAUAGAGAGAGACAGAUAAAUUAAAACCGCAGCUAUACUGCAAGCUCCUCUAAAAUUUCCUGCUCGUCAGAGUAGCUCUCUGCAUCGUUUUGUUAAAUACAGCCCGGCGGGAAAGCCAUCAUCAAUCAAUUUCGGGUAACAAGGAAGACUUGUUGAACACCUUGUUCUCCAGACCCCGGGAAGAUGCUGGGCUGCUGGAGCGUGGAAGAGCCAGGAUUGUGCCCUGAACUUCACCCACUUGGCAGCAGCUAUUCCUAAACAAUUUCCCCUCUCCUCCCCUGCCUGUUUGCCUCUCGGACUGACUGAGAAUCUGCUCUUUAAAGUUGAUCUGAAGGGGAAAGCAGAGACGAGCUUGUGCAUAGUUUGGGGCUCAUUAUGGAACCCUUGCCAAUUAGGUCUCCCAAGAACUAGUUACACAGGAAUAGAUCUGCUGUGAAGGUAUCGGAUUAACUGCAUGUAUUCUUUAUAUUGCUGGUUUCGAAGUGAACUGAUGUCCUGGCUUGCUUCUGCCAGUGCUGUGGUAAGUGCUGUGAAGGAAGAGGUAUAGAAAUGUUCCUUGUGAGCUCUGUGUUUGUACCCCAAAAGCUGCUUUGAAAAGAUGUGGAGAAGAGUCACAGCUUGGAUUGGAUUUUUAUUCUUACAGCAGAGGGUAAGCAUCCUGCUCCACUUACCCUUGCAUAUUCCUGCCCCCCAAGAUCCUGCAGCAUUCUUCUGGUUUGCAUAUUAUUCAGCAUUGUAGCCAUCUUCUUCCGUUAUUGUUUACCUAAUAUAAUUCAUCUUGUACCACAGAGCUGGGCAAGCCUAGCAGUAAAAUAAAGCAACUGUUUAAUAAUCAAAGCCCAAGACAAAAGUAUUAGUGCUUAGAAGGCUAAUGAACAAACUAUGUGGUUAUAGUCUUUGUUUAAAGUGAGGUGCCUCCUUAGUUCCUCAGUACGUCUCACUCAAAGGCUGUGUUGCACAUACUUACUUAAGGGAGAUGACCUGAUCUUUUCCCACAUCAGAUAAAUUCUUCAAAAUUUGGGGGAAUUCAAUUUCCUAUAUCAUUUUGCUGGUCUUAUUUUUAAUAACAGGCCAGUAGCAAAGCACUUUGCCAAGAUCUACUGCUCCUCUCCGAUAGUCAGUCUCUUGGUCAUCCUCUCCCCAGCAUGAGGGAAGGUUUUAGGAGAGAGCAUUUGUAGCUCCACACUGGACUCCUGUAUGCACUUGUGCACACGUGUUAACUCCUUUACCUUUCUGGGAGCAAACGCCAUAAUUUCUAUAUGCUCUUUGUGAGGUGAGAGGACAAGAUUGCCAGAGAAGCUUCCCUGAGAGACAUGAAUGUAGCAAUAGUAGUGACUGCACGCUGAUGGUGGGUAGCUCCUCUGAGGAAGAAGUGGUUUUUGUCUGCCUCACAUCUGAAUUACCCAGCAGUCAUGCCAAACUUAGCUUCCCAAGCUAGUGAGGAGGUACCUUGUAUUCCUUUCCCUCCCACCUGGAAGGGCUGAACCUUGGAAGGGUGAAAUAAAGGCUGAUCGUUUGUCUAAGGUGGCCAUUGUGAGCACAGCUGGGACCCAUCUACUCAUUGUACCCUGUCAGAGCUGGUGUUGACUUCUGCUGCUAGCACUUGUGCCAUUGCCAUAACUCUCUAGGCUGCCAUCCACAAAACGUGUGGGGAUGUAUGCAACACGAGUGGAAGAGGAAGGUUUGCUGGGUGUGGUGAGGGAAGAGCAGGCAAAACAUUUCUGGUUUUGAAAGGGAUGAAAGUUUAGCUGCAUGUUUGAAAGUUUGGAAGUUUAGCUGCAUGUGUUGCCAAUGGAGGUGAGAAAGGUCAAUAGUUUAGCCUUCCAUGACUAUUCAUAGUGACAUGAUGGAAUCUGGCUAGAAAUAUGCAGAAGAGCAUGAUUGAAACCUGGGGUUGCUUAAAAUGAGCUAAAAUUCUAAGUACCAUAUCAGUAGCUGCUUGACACAGGAAAGGAGACCUGACUUUUGUAAAUAAUUUUUUUACUUAUCUGUGUCUCUUUAACAGAAACUGGAGUAUCUAAGGGGGAAAAUUUAAAGCCUCCUGGGAACCUGGAGUUCAAAAAAUUACCAGGACUAAAAGAUACCAGUAAACAUCUAAGACUUUUUGAACAAAUAGUGUGGAGUUACAAAAAUAAUGAAUUAUGGGCUUUACCUUAAUCCUAGGGAAGUCCAGAGGGGUCUCAGCAUGCUUCUUCAGAUGGAAGAUGAUAUCCUAAGUGAGUAAGAAAUUGACUUGUUGGUUUCUUUAAAGGACCAGACAGCUUUAUGAAUAAAUGUUGUAUUUUAGCCAGUUAUAACUACCUGUUUGUGAUUAGGGGAAGUUGUUGUUGUUGUAGUGCCUCUCAUUGACUGCUUGCUGAGUCACUUAGACAUAAUUAGAGAGAUGAGAGACCAGUGUAGAGUUCUGAAGAACCAGUUCCUGGCCAAGUGCCUCUAUCUUUCAAGAUCUUUUUAGUGUAACUCUGAUGAAAACUUUGAAACCAAUUAAAGAGCUACUAGGCAAGGAACUGAUAAGGUAAGAUUUGGAAGUGCAGGUAUCUGCUAUUCCAAACAAGGGGCAGGCUCUGAAGCCACAGAAUAAACAAAUGAUGACCGGCAGCAACUAAAAGCAGGCAGAAGUUAGGAGGGAACUCAUAAUUAAGAGAAGCUGCUACUGAACCAAGACAAUUGUAAAGAUUUUAAGGAUUUCUAAGAGGGAAUAGAAAGUAAAUUGGGAACUGGUUCUCUGAGCAUGAAGAGCAGUGGCGGUACAGAGAGAAGUAGGAGAUUCCAUAUUAGCUGAAAACCCUACCAAUGUAGAGGGAUUUCCAUGAAUUCUCAUAGGUUUCCUUCUUUCAAACACACAAUUGCUUGUGAGUAACUUGGUGGGGUUUUUUAGGGACACCAUAAUAGCCACUGGAGUUGCUAGAAUACUCAGUUAUAUUAAAGAGGGGAUUAAAAUUCAACUAGAAUGUGUAAACCUACAUGGCAUAGAAUUGAGGGCAGGCAGGAAUAUCAUGUGAAAGGUUGCCAUCUCUUCAGUGGCAGCAGUCAGAAAAAGAUGUGAUAAAAGUGGUCACAGGAGGAGGCAGGAUCAGUGUGUAAGAGAUUUUAAAGCAAGGUUACAAGAGACCGGCCUGAGGCUUUCUGAACUGUGAAGGAAAUCAUAUCUAAAUAUAUUUUUAAAAUCCCAAAACCUGUGAAGGGAAUAGUAAAAUAUUUUCAUUUCCUUCCUGUUUUUCUUCUUGAAUGAAGCCCCUUUACACUCCUUAAUGUAAAGUUAGUAUAGUAAAUUAGAGCUGAUCAAAGGAUAUACUUCCUUUCCCCUACACCUUGUCAGCUGCUGCAGCCUGCAGUUGCAAGAGGUAGAGGCACAUGAAAUAGAUGCUGUGCACUCACCAUUGAAAGACUGGCAAUUUUGCAGCACAAUGCAGCAUUUGUAUCAUAGUACCUGAAGCAAUAAGUGAUGGUAUUGCUCCAAAGCAGAUGUGGGGAAGGACCUGAUGCACAGCCUUGCAUGAUUAGCUGGCUACUUACCUCUUUCCCUUUUGUCACUCCAGGUCACACGCAUCAUUUCUCUCACGCUUUUAGAGAUAGCUACAGUGGUGCUGGCACAACAGCCCCAGUGGACCACUCUUCUAAUCUGCUGUGGCAGUUCACCUUCUAUGUAGGCCACUGCAGAACAAAUUAAACUUUUGGUGUUUUAGUUUUCUUCUGAAAAUGGCUUCCUUCAUAGGUUCAGUUUUUCAUUUGUAUCAACAUUCAUUUUUUUUAACUACGUGGCUCUGUCCCUCACCUUUGGCCUUGCAGAGAAUCCAGUAACUGUUUUCCUGCAAGUGUAAGUGUAUUUUCAAGGCCUAAGCUUUAAAUGGUUGUUCUGGCAGAAAAAAAAAAAAAAAAAAA
RNAcentral lists this long non-coding RNA (4081 nucleotides) under Taeniopygia guttata (zebra finch). RNAcentral describes it as "lncRNA (ENSTGUG00000021596.1)". The record is from RNAcentral. Lineage: Eukaryota; Metazoa; Chordata; Aves; Passeriformes; Estrildidae.